RNAcentral lists this non-coding RNA (21 nucleotides) under Caenorhabditis elegans. Lineage: Eukaryota; Metazoa; Nematoda; Chromadorea; Rhabditida; Rhabditidae. The record is from RNAcentral.
UGAGUCGGGUUUUUUGCUUUU